AUACGUUCAGGCUAUGGCAUUAGCCUUGGCACAGGCCUAGACCGCCCCUUUUGCAGAAGAGGUGCUGAUAAUGCCUACCAGAAA
This 84-nucleotide non-coding RNA is filed under the name Nitrososphaera viennensis EN76. RNAcentral's name for it is "Fluoride riboswitch aptamer (crcB RNA motif)". It matches the Rfam family "Fluoride riboswitch aptamer (crcB RNA motif)". The record is from Rfam by way of RNAcentral. RNAcentral also lists the same sequence under 1 other name. Lineage: Archaea; Thermoproteati; Nitrososphaerota; Nitrososphaeria; Nitrososphaerales; Nitrososphaeraceae.